This 372-nucleotide ribosomal RNA is filed under the name uncultured bacterium. RNAcentral describes it as "bacterial SSU rRNA". It matches the Rfam family "Bacterial small subunit ribosomal RNA", at positions 525 to 896 of the family's 1533-position model. The record is from RNAcentral.
ACGAAGGUCCCGAGCGUUGUUCGGAAUCACUGGGCGUAAAGGGAGCGUAGGCGGCGUGGCAAGUCAGACGUGAAACCCCGGGGCUCAACCCCGGAACUGCGUCCGAUACUGCCAUGCUCGAGCAUUGGAGAGGCAGCUGGAACUCUUGGUGUAGCAGUGAAAUGCGUGGAUAUCAAGAGGAACACUCGUGGCGAAAGCGAGCUGCUGGACAAUUGCUGACGCUGAGGCUCGAAGGCCGGGGGAGCGAAAGGGAUUAGAUACCCUGUAGUCCCGGCAGUAAACGGUGCACGCUUGGUGUGAGGGGAUUCGACCCCCCUCGUGCCGGAGCUAACGCGUUAAGCGCACCGCCUGGGAAGUACGGUCGCAAGACUA